Molecule: long non-coding RNA, 1924 nt
Organism: Rattus rattus (black rat)
Lineage: Eukaryota; Metazoa; Chordata; Mammalia; Rodentia; Muridae
Exons: 5
Source: RefSeq, a predicted model, not a curated record
CAGCAGUGAGGCGGCCAACCGGCGAGCGCGGGGCAGGUGCCUACGAACUUCUCGUAGAACGACUGCCUAGACCUGGCCCAGCAGAGCGUGGAGGAUCCCGGGCGGUGUUGGUCCCGGCGUGACUUGUAAGGAAGAGAGCCAGGAGGGCCCCAGAAGGGGCUCGCAGUAGCACGCGCAGCGCGCGCGCACCGGCGGUUGCUCAGAGCUACCUUAGGAGCCAUAGGGACCAUACUCCAGGUGGUGGGCACUGGCCCAACUUGAUGCUAGGGCUCUCGCCAUCCUUCGCUUAGGUGGCUGUGGCCGUGUUCCAGCCUGCGGCCAAGCAGAGUUUCAUCAUAGAGUUUUUGGUGGCCAAGGAUGGUGGCAACGGUGGGAGUCCUGGCAGCGUGGGCGUGGGGGGUGGGCUCGGGCUCCCAUCCUCUGGCUGUGGCUGCCUUAGAGUAACUGCUCAGGCUUGUGGCACUCAACUGCCUUCAUCCCAGUUUGGUCGAAAUAGCCUUGGUGAGUGGCUUCCCUGCCACAGGGUGCAGGCCACUCCCUCUAGGGACCACCGGAGCUGGUGUAGCCAGAGACCAUUAACCACUCAGUGCUGAUAGUGCACAGGCACACCAGCUGGGCUCCUCCUCUCCGCAAUCCCCUCACUCAGCGCCCAGCUUCAGGACCCUCUCCACUUCUAUCCCUGGGGACUUCGGAACCGCUUCUUUGGCUACUGCUUCCAUGUGCAGGGCUAUCUGAGAGGUGCCUGGUCCCAUGCUGCACGGAAGUGAGACAUCCAGGUGACCACCAUGCUGACAAAGCUGGGAUCACAUUGCCAGUCCACCACUGGGAUCUACUCAGUAGUCACGAGAUUCCCCGAAGCUGGGCAUGCUGGACUCUGUCAGCGUCCAGCAUCCAUUGACGAGCACCCAGGUGUCUCUUCAUCAUCGCCCUGUGAUGCUUCUAAGUCUCACCCACCAGCAUGCUCCUGCAGCAAGGAGGUCAGGCCUUCCAGAGGGCUGCCUGGGGCUUAAGUCGACGGUGGACUUCAUCACCACUACUUUACGGUGCAUGCAGGUGCUGAACACCUUGACUUUUGGACACAGGCUUUUGCAAGGCCAUCGAGGUUGAAAUGCACCUGCCUAUUUGGGUGGUGGUGGCACAUGCCUUUAAUCAAGAGGAUGAAGGGGAUCUUGGCUGUAGAUGUCCCGCUCUUGCCUUGCAGCCCAGACAAAUUUCCUUAAGGACUGGAGGAUCAGAAACAGCAAUGUGUCUAUGCAACUUCUUCCAGGGACAUUUCCGGGAAGCCCAGGCCAUCUUCAGUGUUCCAUGGAUCCCAGUUUAAGAAAGAGCACGUGCGACCUGCCUGACUGGAAUUUGUGUGCAAGAAGAGACGGGACAGAGACACAGACAGAACCUCACAGUGCAUGGCCGUCAAGGAGUCAUCAGGAUGUGAGGCCAGAUCUCCAACCCAGGCUGGCCAGAGUCUCCGGGAAGUCCUCGUUGGUUUUGUCUGAUUAGCUAGCCUGAUCCAGAGGCUGAAGCCAGCACUGAAUCCAUGGAAUGAACUUCCCAGAGUUGUGCAUUAAGGGUUGGGGAACAUGGGGUCUAAUGGUGCUCUUCCUGCCUCUGAGAGGAAUUGGACACUCCUCUCUUCUCAAAUUAGGCAGGAAAAAAAAUGUCUGUCCUAAGAGAGCUUAGUGUUGCUCAGGGGACAGAGUAGAUAAGAAACAGGAAUGUGUUUCCCAGGGGCAGAACACUACUGGUACAGGGUGUUGAACUCAGCAGAUAUCCCAGCAGGGUGACUAUGCCAGGAACCUUGUUGUCCUGUGCUCAGAUUAGGAGAGACCGUUGGUCGGAGGGACCAUCCAUGUCAGUCACACGGGCUUCUGUGUGCCUCAGGCUGUGACAGAUGUUGGCACAGUCUAGGGAGAAAGAACACAGGAGA